This 76-nucleotide transfer RNA is filed under the name Tigriopus kingsejongensis. Its description in RNAcentral is "tRNA-Arg". Lineage: Eukaryota; Metazoa; Arthropoda; Copepoda; Harpacticoida; Harpacticidae. The record is from RNAcentral.
UUGUUCGUGGUGAAAGACAAAACAGACCCCCUAGGGGUCUUAAUUAUUGCAGGUUCAUUAGUUCCUACCGAGGAAA